RNAcentral lists this transfer RNA (74 nucleotides) under Mesocricetus auratus (golden hamster). It matches the Rfam family "tRNA". From Rfam's summary of the family: Transfer RNA (tRNA) molecules are approximately 80 nucleotides in length. Their secondary structure includes four short double-helical elements and three loops (D, anti-codon, and T loops). The record is from Rfam by way of RNAcentral. Lineage: Eukaryota; Metazoa; Chordata; Mammalia; Rodentia; Cricetidae.
GGCUAGUUAUCUCAGUUGGUUAGAGCAUGGUGCUUAUAACACCAAGGUUGUGGGUUUGAACCCUGUAUGGGAUA